This 253-nucleotide ribosomal RNA is filed under the name uncultured bacterium. Its description in RNAcentral is "partial 16S ribosomal RNA". It matches the Rfam family "Bacterial small subunit ribosomal RNA", at positions 524 to 776 of the family's 1533-position model. The record is from RNAcentral.
UACAGGGGGUGCAAACGUUGCUCGGAAUUAUUGGGCGUAAAGCGCACGUAGGCGGUUCGUUAUGUCAGAUGUGAAAGCCCUUGGCUCAACUGAGGAAGUGCAUCCGAAACUGGCAGGCUAGAGUACUAAAGAGGGUCGCGGAAUUCCCGGUGUAGAGGUGAAAUUCGUAGAUAUCGGGAGGAACACCGGUGGCGAAGGCGGCUUGCCAGAACGCGCUCGACGGUGAGGGAUGAAAGCUGGGGGAGCAAACCGG